This 72-nucleotide transfer RNA is filed under the name Operophtera brumata (winter moth). It matches the Rfam family "tRNA". Rfam says of the family: Transfer RNA (tRNA) molecules are approximately 80 nucleotides in length. Their secondary structure includes four short double-helical elements and three loops (D, anti-codon, and T loops). Further hydrogen bonds mediate the characteristic L-shaped molecular structure. tRNAs have two regions of fundamental functional importance: the anti-codon, which is responsible for specific mRNA codon recognition, and the 3' end, to which the tRNAs corresponding amino acid is attached (by aminoacyl-tRNA synthetases). tRNAs cope with the degeneracy of the genetic code in two manners: having more than one tRNA (with a specific anti-codon) for a particular amino acid; and 'wobble' base-pairing, i.e. permitting non-standard base-pairing at the 3rd anti-codon position. Lineage: Eukaryota; Metazoa; Arthropoda; Insecta; Lepidoptera; Geometridae. The record is from Rfam by way of RNAcentral.
CGUUAUAAAGCCGAAUUGGUAAAGGCAUCGCCGAUCACAGGGAGGUUGCGGGUUCGAGUCCCGCUGGAACGG